RNAcentral lists this ribosomal RNA (484 nucleotides) under uncultured bacterium. RNAcentral describes it as "partial 16S ribosomal RNA". It matches the Rfam family "Bacterial small subunit ribosomal RNA", at positions 28 to 507 of the family's 1533-position model. The record is from RNAcentral.
AUUGAACGCUGGCGGCAUGCUUUACACAUGCAAGUCGAACGGCAGCGCGGGCUUCGGCCUGGCGGCGAGUGGCGAACGGGUGAGUAAUGCAUCGGGACGUGCCCAGUAGUGGGGGAUAGCCCGGCGAAAGCCGGAUUAAUACCGCAUACGACCUGAGGGUGAAAGCGGGGGACCGAAAGGCCUCGCGCUAUUGGAGCGGCCGAUGUCGGAUUAGCUAGUUGGUGGGGUAAAGGCUUACCAAGGCGACGAUCCGUAGCUGGUCUGAGAGGACGACCAGCCACACUGGGACUGAGACACGGCCCAGACUCCUACGGGAGGCAGCAGUGGGGAAUUUUGGACAAUGGGGGCAACCCUGAUCCAGCCAUGCCGCGUGCGGGAAGAAGGCCUUCGGGUUGUAAACCGCUUUUGUUCGGGAAGAAAUCCUCUGGGCUAAUACCCCGGGGGGAUGACGGUACCGGAAGAAUAAGCACCGGCUAACUACGUG